AAACGACGAUAUUUUCCUGGUUUUCCAAAUGGUUCUCCUUUAUCCUUCACAAGGCUCACAUUAGAAUCUACGGGAGUAUCAACUGGACGAGUUCCAAGAAAGCUUGUCUCAUCUAACAAGUCAAGUACAUAUUUUCCUUAAGAUAAGUUGAUACCUGCUCGAUCUCUAGCGACUUCAAUACCCAAGAAAAAUCGGAGCUUGCCUAGAUCUUUAGUUUGGAAAUGUUUUUGUAUAAGCUGUUUUAACCGAACAAUUCCAUUUGCAUUAUCACCAGUGAUUACAAUAUUGUCUACAUAAACCACAAGGAUAACAUAGCCUGCAUCGGUUUGUAGAUGAAAUACUGAAUGUUCUAUCUAACAUCUCCGAAGACCAAAUUCUAGAACGAUCUCUGAAAAAUUUUCAAACCAUUCUCCCCCCUAGCCCCCAAGGGGGUAAGCUACAGUAAAGGGCUUCCCCGUACUCCAUUUCAUAGGAUGGAAUGUGGGGAAGUUACGGCCGCCGUUCACCGGGGCUUCGGUCGUCGGCUCCCCUAUCAUCAGGUCACCAACUUCCUUAACCUUCCAGCACUAGGCAGGCGUCAGCCCCCAUACAUGGUCUUACGACUUUGCGGAGACCUGUGUUUUUGGUAAACAGUCGCCCAGGCCUGGUCACUGCGACCCCCUUUGUGAGGAGGCACUCCUUCUCCCGAAGUUACGAAGCUAUUUUGCCGAGUUCCUUAGAGAGAGUUGUCUCGCGCCCAAAACUUUUCAAACCAUUCUCUUGGUGAUUGCUUUAACCCAUAUAAAGCAUUUUUCAACUUACAAAAAUAAUUCUAGUACUCCUCCUGAGCACCAAACCUAGGUAGUGCUUCAUAUAAACUUCUUUGUGUAAGUCACCAUGAAGUAAAGCAUUUUUUAUAUCUAAUUGAAAUAAUAUCCAACCAAAGUUAACAGCAAUAAAAAUUAAAACCCAAAUAGAAGAGAUUUUAGCAAUAGG
This 975-nucleotide long non-coding RNA is filed under the name Olea europaea subsp. europaea. The record is from RNAcentral. Lineage: Eukaryota; Viridiplantae; Streptophyta; Magnoliopsida; Lamiales; Oleaceae.